Molecule: long non-coding RNA, 595 nt
Organism: Lycium ferocissimum
Lineage: Eukaryota; Viridiplantae; Streptophyta; Magnoliopsida; Solanales; Solanaceae
Exons: 2
Source: RefSeq, a predicted model, not a curated record
AUUGACACACAACAAUGAGGUACCUUCAUCUCCUUAUUUUGUUUUCUGCGCAAGACACUAUGAUCUUGGAGUCAAGUAUAGGAGUGGAAGUUCGCAAGAUUUGGGCUACAGGGCCCCGUAUCCUGGUGGGUUUUUGAACAUUGCUGCUGGAAAUUUUGUUCAGUUCUUUCUGAUUCUGCUCUGUGCAUAUUUAAGUGAAGAAAACUCUUGUGGGGAGUGAAACCUGUAUUUUCUAAAAGCAUUGAGAAGAUUCACUGUACCAAAGGCAGAAUGAGAUUUGCGCCUCUAUGUUUCACGGUUGGUGAGGAAGCAGAAACCAUGAGAAUUAUUGAAGUUGGAUUCUGCCUUUAAUAAUCUAAUGCGUCAAUUUUCUUCUUUCUUUUUUCUUCUUCUGGCAAGUGACUUGUACUCCAAAUCUAGAUGGGAGUUUAGUACUCCUUUAAGUGUGAUAUGCUCUCCUCUUUGGUGAAGGUUCCUGAACACUUUGGCAGCAAAAUAUUUUCAUUUUUAAGUAUAUUCAGGAAAUUUACACUUCAAGUUUGAUCGUUUCACACUAAAAUUCAUCUAAUUAAAUCGGGCAAUUAGUAUUCUCCUA